Molecule: ribosomal RNA, 308 nt
Filed under: uncultured bacterium
Lineage: Bacteria
Description: bacterial SSU rRNA
Rfam family: Bacterial small subunit ribosomal RNA
Source: RNAcentral
AUUGAACGCUGGCGGCAUGCUUUACACAUGCAAGUCGAACGGCAGCAUAGAGAGCUUGCUCUCUGAUGGCGAGUGGCGAACGGGUGAGUAAUGCAUCGGAACGUGUCCGUUUGUGGGGGACAACUAUCCGAAAGGAUGGCUAAUACCGCAUGAGACCUGAGGGUGAAAGCCGGGGACCGCAAGGCCUGGCGCAAACGGAGCGGCCGAUGUCUGAUUAGCUAGUUGGGGAGGUAACGGCUCACCAAGGCGACGAUCAGUAGCUGGUCUGAGAGGACGACCAGCCACACUGGAACUGAGACACGGUCCAG